UACGUAGGCAGCGAGCGUUGUUCGGAGUUACUGGGCGUAAAGCGUGCGUAGGCGGUGUCUUAAGUUUGUUGUGAAAUCUCCCGGCUUAACCGGGAGGGUGCGGCGAAUACUGAGAUGCUGGAGUGCCGGAGAGGUAAGCGGAAUUCCUGGUGUAGCGGUGAAAUGCGUAGAUAUCAGGAGGAACACCUGCGGCGAAGGCGGGUUGCUAGGCUGACACUGACGCUGAGUGCGCGAAAGCUAGGGGAGCAAACGGG
This 254-nucleotide ribosomal RNA is filed under the name uncultured bacterium. RNAcentral's name for it is "partial 16S ribosomal RNA". It matches the Rfam family "Bacterial small subunit ribosomal RNA", at positions 524 to 776 of the family's 1533-position model. The record is from RNAcentral.